This 468-nucleotide ribosomal RNA is filed under the name uncultured bacterium. RNAcentral describes it as "partial 16S ribosomal RNA". It matches the Rfam family "Bacterial small subunit ribosomal RNA", at positions 28 to 507 of the family's 1533-position model. The record is from RNAcentral.
GACGAACGCUGGCGGCGUGCUUAACACAUGCAAGUCGAACGGAAAGGCCCUGCUUUUGUGGGGUGCUCGAGUGGCGAACGGGUGAGUAACACGUGAGUAACCUGCCCUUGACUUUGGGAUAACUUCAGGAAACUGGGGCUAAUACCGGAUAGGAGCUCCUGCUGCAUGGUGGGGGUUGGAAAGUUUCGGCGGUUGGGGAUGGACUCGCGGCUUAUCAGCUUGUUGGUGGGGUAGUGGCCUACCAAGGCUUUGACGGGUAGCCGGCCUGAGAGGGUGACCGGCGACAAGGGGACUGAGAGACGGACCAGACGCCUACGGGAGGCAGCAGUGGGGAAUAUUGCACAAUGGGCGGAAGCCUGAUGCAGCAACGCCGCGUGCGGGAUGACGGCCUUCGGGUUGUAAACCGCUUUCGCCUGUGACGAAGCGUGAGUGACGGUAAUGGGUAAAGAAGCACCGGCUAACUACGUG